AUUGAAAUAAAUAACCAGAACGUGUUUCUCAGAUUCUGUUUUUCUUCUUCUUCAUCAACACGGCGGUGAAUGACGGUGAUGGCAUGGUGAUGGAAGAGAGUCACGUGAGAACAGCCACGUUGUGGCUGUUGCCGGCGAUGGCAGAUUUGGUGGUUGGUGAACGGGACGCCGGCGGUGAUGACGGUGGUGCACAUCGUAGCGCGACGAGGUCGAUGGCGAUGACUUGAUAACUGGGAAGAAGAUGAUGGUGGUUUGGUUAUGGGAAGAAGAACAAGGUUUGGGGUUAGGAGGGAUGAAGAACACGUUAAGAAGAUGAACAAUUUAUUUUCCCCCUUUUCUGCAGUUUUAUUUAUUUUUUAAUCAAGUAAAAAUAUUUUUUUUCAAUUCAAAAAUAUAUUAUCUAAUUUUUAAAAAUGAUUUUUAAAUAAGUGAAUUGCCACGUGUGCAUGAUUGCAUGGUCAGCAACUGCUAUGUAGACUAAAAUGUGCCAAAUCAGCAAUAAAGUGGAUCCAAGGACUAUUUUAAAA
This is a long non-coding RNA of Medicago truncatula (barrel medic), 527 nucleotides long. RefSeq lists it as uncharacterized. NCBI's taxonomy places the organism in Eukaryota, Viridiplantae, Streptophyta, Magnoliopsida, Fabales, Fabaceae. The record is from RefSeq and is a predicted model, not a curated record. The transcript has 2 exons.